GACGAACGCUGGCGGCGUGCCUAAUACAUGCAAGUAGAACGCUGAAGAGAGGAGCUUGCUCUUCUUGGAUGAGGUGCGAACGGGUGAGUAACGCGUAGGUAACCUGCCUUGUAGCGGGGGAUAACUAUGGGAAACGAUAGCUAAUACCGCAUAACAAUGGAUGACACAGGUCAUUUAUAUGAAAGGGGCAAUUGUUCCACUACAAGAUGGACCUGCGUUGUAUUAGCUAGUAGGUGAGGUAAUGGCUCACCUAGGCGACGAUACAUAGCCGACCUGAGAGGGUGAUCGGCCACACUGGGACUGUGACACGGCCCAGACUCCUACGGGAGGCAGCAGUAGGGAAUCUUCGGCAAUGGGGGCAACCCUGACCGAGCAACGCCGCGUGAGUGAAGAAGGUUUUCGGAUCGUAAAGCUCUGUUGUAAGUCAAGAACGGGUGUGAGAGUGGAAAGUUCACACUGUGACGGUAGCUUACCAGAAAGGGACGGCUAACUACGUG
Molecule: ribosomal RNA, 497 nt
Filed under: uncultured bacterium
Lineage: Bacteria
Description: partial 16S ribosomal RNA
Rfam family: Bacterial small subunit ribosomal RNA
Source: RNAcentral